GACCAGUACAGUUCAAACCCAUGUUGUUCAAGAGCCAACUACACACUGGCAUUAUGGGAUCUUGCCACCAAUGCUCCUGUAUAGUGUAAAAGCACAGCUAAACAUCCUGGGAGCAUUUCAGAAGAGGAGCACCUCAAUUUGGUUACCUAUUUUCUGUGAAGUACUCUUGAACAUAAAAGCCUCUGAGUGUUAAUUGACACUUUCACCUUGAAUUGGAGAGCCUCUAUAAAUGAUCAUCAUUUUCUUUUAAAUGUCAUGUUGUGCUCCUCACAUCAUUUUAUCCAGCUUUCCUCGUUUCUAAAGGAAACACAGUAAGAUUACAUGGACAGAUUGCUUCCAUCAAUGACAAUGUACAUGAAAUGCAAUGACAAGAGCCAAGCCAUACUUUCUUAACAUGACUUUAGUUCAGAAGACUGCCAUGUGUCCUGAUACCAAUGUGAUUACUGUGGAAGAAGCAGAGAGUGAAUAUUGGGAGACAACCAGCAGACUGUCUUCCAAUCAGAGACCUUCUAGUGAGAACUUCUACAACAAUCCAGUGAAAUAAGGAAUACGACAGCAUCUGGCAUACAUUAUUCUCUAAUUCAAAUGUUUGGUGGAGAAGUCAAAAAGCCUCAAGCCUAAAAAUAUUGGAUUUGUCAAUCCAUAAGGUACAGGGCAUCUCAAUUUUCUCUGCUAUUUCUCUUUUCUCUAACAACUUCUCAUAUCACUCUUUCAAAGACAUUCUUUCAGAGGAGCAAAACAAAAUUAAU
This 749-nucleotide long non-coding RNA is filed under the name Felis catus (domestic cat). RNAcentral describes it as "lncRNA (ENSFCAG00000048101.1)". Lineage: Eukaryota; Metazoa; Chordata; Mammalia; Carnivora; Felidae. The record is from RNAcentral.